RNAcentral lists this unclassified non-coding RNA (80 nucleotides) under Pseudomonas lini. Lineage: Bacteria; Pseudomonadati; Pseudomonadota; Gammaproteobacteria; Pseudomonadales; Pseudomonadaceae. The record is from RNAcentral.
GCCUUCGGCAGCUCCUACGGAGGGUGCGUACACCCGCGCAAUGACGGGUUCACAUGAUCCCUGUAGGAGCUGCCGAAGGC